RNAcentral lists this microRNA precursor (75 nucleotides) under Myotis davidii. RNAcentral describes it as "mir-9193 microRNA precursor family". It matches the Rfam family "mir-9193 microRNA precursor family". Lineage: Eukaryota; Metazoa; Chordata; Mammalia; Chiroptera; Vespertilionidae. The record is from Rfam by way of RNAcentral.
CUCGGGAGCCGGGAGGUUCCUCAGCCCAGAUUGCAAGAGGGUGCAGGCCAGGCCAAGGGACCCCACCAGUGCACA